CGCCCAGUGUCUUUCCCUGUCCAACAUCCUGCCUCGCCUCUCUACGGCCUCCGCUCCACCUAGCCAGCACGCUAUUCCGUUCGGCGGCCGCGCGGCUGACUGGCACACAAUCUGCCAGCCGAGAAGCUCGCACACUCCGCGUCAUGCUCAUCUCCACCACGACCAACCCUAUGCUCUACUCGCAGCCGUGGACUGCGUUCCACCUCGCCGGAGCACCAUCUAUGUUCAGGAACGAAGCCACCACUGCCUACCAUAGGACACACCCUAUUUUCACACUUCCUCCAAUUUGCCAAACUGUGUUUACCAAAUGAACUUCUUACUUAUAAUGCGUUGCUUCCAUACAAUUAUUUUAGCGCACAUCUUCAUGUCUUGGUUUAUUCCGUCAAUUCACAUAUCUUCAGAUUUGUUGAUAUAGUACACUUUUUAUUUGCAGUGGAGCCGCAGUAAUGAAGCAGACAAUAUGCUCAAGGUUGUGUGCCGACUUUGAGGCAGAUAAGCGUUGGCGAGACAUAUAUAUGUGGCAUGGAGUCACAUGGAUCUACCUCACAAUGAAGACGACCACACCCGAAAUGCAGGGAAGUAGAUCUCUAGUCUUUAGGAAACAUACAGUAUGAGCUUAGGAAGCAUUGUACUAUUGACGACCUGUUGGAAAUAUAUUGUAUGGAAGGGCGAACAAUGGAAACAAAUUUAUACUUA
Molecule: long non-coding RNA, 696 nt
Organism: Triticum dicoccoides
Lineage: Eukaryota; Viridiplantae; Streptophyta; Magnoliopsida; Poales; Poaceae
Exons: 2
Source: RefSeq, a predicted model, not a curated record